ACUCCACUACUCUUCACAACAAACUCCGCCUGACUCUGGGCAGCCCACUGCCAGAUGGUUACGGAUAUCGCUAUCAGUCUGCUGCUCCCUUUUGCCUAUAAAAGGGGGCUCCAGAUACGUUAUUCUCUAAGCUCUCAUUUUUACCUAGAAACUCUGCUAAAUUUUCGUUCGAGCACUCCAUUCUUGUUGAGGCAGAGAACUGAUUUGAACGUCGGAG
This 217-nucleotide long non-coding RNA is filed under the name Elaeis guineensis (African oil palm). RNAcentral's name for it is "long non-coding RNA (EGUI_LNC017453)". The record is from RNAcentral. Lineage: Eukaryota; Viridiplantae; Streptophyta; Magnoliopsida; Arecales; Arecaceae.